CCUACGGGUGGCUGCAGUAGGGAAUAUUGCUCAAUGGGGGAAACCCUGAAGCAGCAACGCCGCGUGGAGGAUGAAGGUUUUCGGAUGGUAAACUCCUUUUGUUAGAGAAGAGAAGGACGGUAGCUAACGAAUAAGCAACGGCUAACUCCGUGCCAGCAGCCGCGGUAAUACGGAGGGUGCAAGCGUUACUCGGAAUCACGGGGCGUAAAGCGCGCGGAGGCGGGAUAGCAAGUCAGAUGUGAAAUCCUCUGGCUUAACCAUAGAACUGAAUUUGAAACUGUUAUUCUAGAGUAUGGGAGAGGUAGGUGGAAUUCUUGGUGUAGGGGUCAAAUCCGUAGAGAUCACGCGGAAUACUCAUUGCGACGGCGACCUGCUAGAACAUAACUGACGCUGAUGCGCGAAAGCGUGGGGAGCAAACAGGAUUAGAUACCCGGGUAGUC
RNAcentral lists this ribosomal RNA (440 nucleotides) under uncultured bacterium. RNAcentral's name for it is "partial 16S ribosomal RNA". It matches the Rfam family "Bacterial small subunit ribosomal RNA", at positions 338 to 795 of the family's 1533-position model. The record is from RNAcentral.